Molecule: ribosomal RNA, 405 nt
Filed under: uncultured Caldilineaceae bacterium
Lineage: Bacteria; Bacillati; Chloroflexota; Caldilineae; Caldilineales; Caldilineaceae
Description: bacterial SSU rRNA
Rfam family: Bacterial small subunit ribosomal RNA
Source: RNAcentral
UGAGGAAUAUUGGGCAAUGGGCGCAAGCCUGACCCAGCAACGCCGCGUGGAGGAAGACGGCCUUCGGGUUGUAAACUCCUUUUACGGGGGAAGAGGAAGGACGGUACCCCGAGAAUAAGUCACGGCUAACUACGUGCCAGCAGCCGCGGUAAUACGUAGGUGACAAGCGUUAUCCGGAAUUACUGGGCGUAAAGCGCACGCAGGCGGCGCCGUAAGUCUGAUGUGAAAUCUCCUGGCUUAACUGGGAGGGGUCAUUGGAAACUGCGGUGCUUGAGGCGAUGAGAGGGGUGUAGAAUUCCCGGUGUAGUGGUGGAAUGCGUAGAUAUCGGGAGGAAUACCAGUGGCGAAAGCGGCACCCUGGCAUUAGCCUGACGCUCAUGUGCGAAGGCGUGGGGAGCGAACGGG